CGCCCACCAGCUAGCCCAAGCCUUAAUAAACCAAAACUUUAAUGUUAUAAAUAACCAUAGACACCCGACAAUUCAACUAAACAAAACAUUUUUCCCCUUGAGUAUAGGCGAUAGAAAU
RNAcentral lists this ribosomal RNA (118 nucleotides) under Belonepterygion fasciolatum (barred spiny basslet). Its description in RNAcentral is "partial 16S rRNA". Lineage: Eukaryota; Metazoa; Chordata; Actinopteri; Plesiopidae. The record is from RNAcentral.